UGUAGUUCAGUUGGUAGAAUGUUCGCCUGGCAUGCAUAAAAUCCUGGGUUCCAUCCCCAGCA
RNAcentral lists this transfer RNA (62 nucleotides) under Cricetulus griseus (Chinese hamster). It matches the Rfam family "tRNA", at positions 6 to 65 of the family's 71-position model. From Rfam's summary of the family: Transfer RNA (tRNA) molecules are approximately 80 nucleotides in length. Their secondary structure includes four short double-helical elements and three loops (D, anti-codon, and T loops). The record is from Rfam by way of RNAcentral. Lineage: Eukaryota; Metazoa; Chordata; Mammalia; Rodentia; Cricetidae.